This 2902-nucleotide ribosomal RNA is filed under the name Escherichia coli. RNAcentral's name for it is "23S ribosomal RNA". It matches the Rfam family "Bacterial large subunit ribosomal RNA". Lineage: Bacteria; Pseudomonadati; Pseudomonadota; Gammaproteobacteria; Enterobacterales; Enterobacteriaceae. The record is from RNAcentral.
GGUUAAGCGACUAAGCGUACACGGUGGAUGCCCUGGCAGUCAGAGGCGAUGAAGGACGUGCUAAUCUGCGAUAAGCGUCGGUAAGGUGAUAUGAACCGUUAUAACCGGCGAUUUCCGAAUGGGGAAACCCAGUGUGUUUCGACACACUAUCAUUAACUGAAUCCAUAGGUUAAUGAGGCGAACCGGGGGAACUGAAACAUCUAAGUACCCCGAGGAAAAGAAAUCAACCGAGAUUCCCCCAGUAGCGGCGAGCGAACGGGGAGGAGCCCAGAGCCUGAAUCAGUGUGUGUGUUAGUGGAAGCGUCUGGAAAGGCGCGCGAUACAGGGUGACAGCCCCGUACACAAAAAUGCACAUGCUGUGAGCUCGAUGAGUAGGGCGGGACACGUGGUAUCCUGUCUGAAUAUGGGGGGACCAUCCUCCAAGGCUAAAUACUCCUGACUGACCGAUAGUGAACCAGUACCGUGAGGGAAAGGCGAAAAGAACCCCGGCGAGGGGAGUGAAAAAGAACCUGAAACCGUGUACGUACAAGCAGUGGGAGCCUCUUUAUGGGGUGACUGCGUACCUUUUGUAUAAUGGGUCAGCGACUUAUAUUCUGUAGCAAGGUUAACCGAAUAGGGGAGCCGAAGGGAAACCGAGUCUUAACUGGGCGUUAAGUUGCAGGGUAUAGACCCGAAACCCGGUGAUCUAGCCAUGGGCAGGUUGAAGGUUGGGUAACACUAACUGGAGGACCGAACCGACUAAUGUUGAAAAAUUAGCGGAUGACUUGUGGCUGGGGGUGAAAGGCCAAUCAAACCGGGAGAUAGCUGGUUCUCCCCGAAAGCUAUUUAGGUAGCGCCUCGUGAAUUCAUCUCCGGGGGUAGAGCACUGUUUCGGCAAGGGGGUCAUCCCGACUUACCAACCCGAUGCAAACUGCGAAUACCGGAGAAUGUUAUCACGGGAGACACACGGCGGGUGCUAACGUCCGUCGUGAAGAGGGAAACAACCCAGACCGCCAGCUAAGGUCCCAAAGUCAUGGUUAAGUGGGAAACGAUGUGGGAAGGCCCAGACAGCCAGGAUGUUGGCUUAGAAGCAGCCAUCAUUUAAAGAAAGCGUAAUAGCUCACUGGUCGAGUCGGCCUGCGCGGAAGAUGUAACGGGGCUAAACCAUGCACCGAAGCUGCGGCAGCGACACUAUGUGUUGUUGGGUAGGGGAGCGUUCUGUAAGCCUGUGAAGGUGUGCUGUGAGGCAUGCUGGAGGUAUCAGAAGUGCGAAUGCUGACAUAAGUAACGAUAAAGCGGGUGAAAAGCCCGCUCGCCGAAAGACCAAGGGUUCCUGUCCAACGUUAAUCGGGGCAGGGUGAGUCGACCCCUAAGGCGAGGCCGAAAGGCGUAGUCGAUGGGAAACAGGUUAAUAUUCCUGUACUUGGUGUUACUGCGAAGGGGGGACGGAGAAGGCUAUGUUGGCCGGGCGACGGUUGUCCCGGUUUAAGCGUGUAGGCUGGUUUUCCAGGCAAAUCCGGAAAAUCAAGGCUGAGGCGUGAUGACGAGGCACUACGGUGCUGAAGCAACAAAUGCCCUGCUUCCAGGAAAAGCCUCUAAGCAUCAGGUAACAUCAAAUCGUACCCCAAACCGACACAGGUGGUCAGGUAGAGAAUACCAAGGCGCUUGAGAGAACUCGGGUGAAGGAACUAGGCAAAAUGGUGCCGUAACUUCGGGAGAAGGCACGCUGAUAUGUAGGUGAAGCGACUUGCUCGUGGAGCUGAAAUCAGUCGAAGAUACCAGCUGGCUGCAACUGUUUAUUAAAAACACAGCACUGUGCAAACACGAAAGUGGACGUAUACGGUGUGACGCCUGCCCGGUGCCGGAAGGUUAAUUGAUGGGGUUAGCGCAAGCGAAGCUCUUGAUCGAAGCCCCGGUAAACGGCGGCCGUAACUAUAACGGUCCUAAGGUAGCGAAAUUCCUUGUCGGGUAAGUUCCGACCUGCACGAAUGGCGUAAUGAUGGCCAGGCUGUCUCCACCCGAGACUCAGUGAAAUUGAACUCGCUGUGAAGAUGCAGUGUACCCGCGGCAAGACGGAAAGACCCCGUGAACCUUUACUAUAGCUUGACACUGAACAUUGAGCCUUGAUGUGUAGGAUAGGUGGGAGGCUUUGAAGUGUGGACGCCAGUCUGCAUGGAGCCGACCUUGAAAUACCACCCUUUAAUGUUUGAUGUUCUAACGUUGACCCGUAAUCCGGGUUGCGGACAGUGUCUGGUGGGUAGUUUGACUGGGGCGGUCUCCUCCUAAAGAGUAACGGAGGAGCACGAAGGUUGGCUAAUCCUGGUCGGACAUCAGGAGGUUAGUGCAAUGGCAUAAGCCAGCUUGACUGCGAGCGUGACGGCGCGAGCAGGUGCGAAAGCAGGUCAUAGUGAUCCGGUGGUUCUGAAUGGAAGGGCCAUCGCUCAACGGAUAAAAGGUACUCCGGGGAUAACAGGCUGAUACCGCCCAAGAGUUCAUAUCGACGGCGGUGUUUGGCACCUCGAUGUCGGCUCAUCACAUCCUGGGGCUGAAGUAGGUCCCAAGGGUAUGGCUGUUCGCCAUUUAAAGUGGUACGCGAGCUGGGUUUAGAACGUCGUGAGACAGUUCGGUCCCUAUCUGCCGUGGGCGCUGGAGAACUGAGGGGGGCUGCUCCUAGUACGAGAGGACCGGAGUGGACGCAUCACUGGUGUUCGGGUUGUCAUGCCAAUGGCACUGCCCGGUAGCUAAAUGCGGAAGAGAUAAGUGCUGAAAGCAUCUAAGCACGAAACUUGCCCCGAGAUGAGUUCUCCCUGACUCCUUGAGAGUCCUGAAGGAACGUUGAAGACGACGACGUUGAUAGGCCGGGUGUGUAAGCGCAGCGAUGCGUUGAGCUAACCGGUACUAAUGAACCGUGAGGCUUAACCUU